Molecule: ribosomal RNA, 643 nt
Filed under: Sphingomonas-like bacterium B12
Lineage: Bacteria; Pseudomonadati; Pseudomonadota; Alphaproteobacteria; Sphingomonadales; Sphingomonadaceae
Description: bacterial SSU rRNA
Rfam family: Bacterial small subunit ribosomal RNA
Source: RNAcentral
GGCGGCAUGCNUAACACAUGCAAGUCGAACGAAGCCUUCGGGCUUAGUGGCGCACGGGUGCGUAACACGUGGGAAUCUGCCCUUGGGUACGGAACAACAGUUAGAAAUGACUGCUAAUACNGUAUGAUGUCUUCGGACCAAAGAUUUAUCGCCCAGGGAUGAGCCCGCGUAGGAUUAGGUAGUUGGUGGGGUAAAGGCCCACCAAGCCGACGAUCCUUAGCUGGUCUGAGAGGAUGAUCAGCCACACUGGGACUGAGACACGGCCCAGACUCCUACGGGAGGCAGCAGUGGGGAAUAUUGGACAAUGGGCGAAAGCUGAUCCAGCAAUGCCGCGUGAGUGAUGAAGGCCUUAGGGUUGUAAAGCUCUUUUACCCGGGAAGAUAAUGACUGUACCGGGAGAAUAAGCCCCGGCUAACUCCGUGCCAGCAGCCGCGGUAAUACGGAGGGGGCUAGCGUUGUUCGGAAUUACUGGGCGUAAAGCGCACGUAGGCGGCUUUGUAAGUUAGAGGUGAAAGCCUGGAGCUCAACUCCAGAAUUGCCUUUAAGACUGCAGACUAGCAGGUGAGAGAGGUAAGUGGAAUUCCGAGUGUAGAGGUGAAAUUCGUAGAUAUUCGGGAAGAACACCAGUGGCGAAGGCGGCUUA